CGAAGUCGAACGGGGUCAUGAUUCUCACUGUUUCACGCAUUUAGAAGAGCGAGCAAGACAGAGCGGCGUAGAAAAAGUGAGGAGCAUGACCUAGUGGCGGACGGGUGAGUAACGCGUGAGCAACCUGCCUUUCAGAGGGGGAUAACGUUUGGAAACAGACGCUAAUACCGCAUGACAUAUGAAUGUCGCCUGGCAUUCAUAUCAAAGGAUCAAUCCGCUGAAAGAUGGGCUCGCGUCCGAUUAGAUAGUUGGUGAGGUAACGGCUCACCAAGUCAGCGAUCGGUAGCCGGACUGAGAGGUUGAACGGCCACAUUGGGACUGAGACACGGCCCAGACUCCUACGGGAGGCAGCAGUGGGGAAUAUUGCACAAUGGGCGAAAGCCUGAUGCAGCGACGCCGCGUGAGGGAAGACGGUCUUCGGAUUGUAAACCUCUGUCUUCGGUGACGACCAAAGACGGUAGCCGAGGAGGAAGCCACGGCUAACUACGUG
This 490-nucleotide ribosomal RNA is filed under the name uncultured bacterium. Its description in RNAcentral is "bacterial SSU rRNA". It matches the Rfam family "Bacterial small subunit ribosomal RNA", at positions 58 to 507 of the family's 1533-position model. The record is from RNAcentral.